Small nucleolar RNA from Ornithorhynchus anatinus (platypus), 138 nucleotides. Lineage: Eukaryota; Metazoa; Chordata; Mammalia; Monotremata; Ornithorhynchidae. The record is from RefSeq and is a predicted model, not a curated record.
CCCCUCUCAGGGUCGCACCUGAAGAGUGUCCAACGCUCUACCAGUCUUGGCUACGGGAGGGAGAGUCAAGCAGAGGCCUACCCAUUCCAUUCUUAGCUUGGGCAGUGGCUAGCGAGUGUAAGGCCAUCUGCUAUAGGG